Amphiprion ocellaris (clown anemonefish) is the source of this 1127-nucleotide long non-coding RNA. Lineage: Eukaryota; Metazoa; Chordata; Actinopteri; Pomacentridae. The record is from Ensembl.
CGGAGCAGGAGGCAGAGCGCGGCGGCGUGGACAGCGUGGGUUCUUUGUGGCUUGAGAAAAACCCAAGCACAGACUCAGCAGCCCCAAGCAGGAAGCUUAGAGAACGGGGCUGAGGACAUAUAAGCCCAGCUGCCAGAUGGUCCCUUUUCAUGCCAGUCUGCCCAGAGGUGCCUUCAUCCCGUCAACUCUUGAUUAGGCAUCUGUCUAAAGGUUAAGUUUCCAUCUUCCCUCAUGGACUGCUGAAGGACAUGACCUCAGAGUUCUCCCAGAGUCUGUCUUACUGAUUUGACCCCUCACUGCUUCCCUGCUCUCCAGUGACCACAUGGACAUCUACAUUAGUUCCCUGUGUAAAUCAAUUCUAGAGUCUGUUGUGUUGGACAGUGCCCUCCAAUUUAAAGCCACCAUCCCAACGUCAUAAUUUCUUCAGAUUGUCCAACUCAGUCUUUUGGUCAUCACUGAAAUCCUCAUCCUAUUCCAACUCUCCAUUGAUGGAUGUCUCGACAGACUCGGGGACAGUUUUUACCCAGAGGCUGAGAGGCUGAUGGACUCGAGGACUGUUAAAGCACAGUGCACUUUAAAUAAGCACUUUACAUACACUUUCAGAGCUUAAAUUGCAGUAUUUUAUGGGCUGAUUACGGGCAGGGAUUGUUUUAAAUUCUAUUUAUUGUACUUUUUAUGUAUUUAAUGCUGCUGACCCAGGACCUGAGUACAGUGUUUCGUUUCUGGGUGUUAUUUAUACUGAAAUGACAAACUUGAAACUUUGCAACACACUCCUUUAACACAUUUUUCAACCCAUUUUAAAAUGCACCUGUUUAUGGGUUUCGAAUUGAUAACUGCCGACCCCUUCAAUAGUUUGUUUUCCUUAUAACGUUCGCGCAUCAUGUUUUAAUUGCAGGACGGCCUAUGCGUGUUCUGUAUUUUUUUUGUGUGCCUUCUAUAGACAAUCAUUCUUAAGCAGUCAAUGUUAAAAUGAGAUACAUUGUAGCAGUGUGCUGUUAUGAGGUUCACUGACCCUUUUUUUCUUGAACCCAUAUAAACAUCCCAUGUAAACAUUUUGAGUAAUAAAAUGUUCAAGUAUCUGUCUCAAAUGAAUAUGUAAUAUGUGUAAUAAAAUAUUGGUUAUGCAG